GACGAACGCUGGCGGCGUGCUUAACACAUGCAAGUCGAACGGAAAGGCCCUGCUUGCAGGGUACUCGAGUGGCGAACGGGUGAGUAACACGUGGGUGAUCUGCCCUCUACUUUGGGAUAAGCUUGGGAGACUGGGUCUAAUACCGGAUAGGACCGCCCUCUUGUGUGUGUGGUGGAAAGAUUUUUCGGUGUAGGAUGAGCUCGCGGCCCAUCAGCUUGUUCGUAGGGUAAGGGCCUACCAAGGCGGCGAAGGGUAGCCGGCCAGAGAGGGUGUACGGCCACAUUGAGACUGAGAUACGGCGCAGACUCCGACAGGAGGGAGCAGUGGGGGAAAUUGCGCAAUAGGCGCAAGGCGGAGGCAGCGACGCCGCGUGGGGGGUAAAGGCCUUCUGUUUGUAAACACCUGUCGCUGGGGACGAAGCUUUGUUGUGACGGUACCUAGAAGAGAAGGACCGGGUAAAUACGUG
This 466-nucleotide ribosomal RNA is filed under the name uncultured bacterium. RNAcentral's name for it is "partial 16S ribosomal RNA". It matches the Rfam family "Bacterial small subunit ribosomal RNA", at positions 28 to 507 of the family's 1533-position model. The record is from RNAcentral.